Molecule: ribosomal RNA, 467 nt
Filed under: uncultured bacterium
Lineage: Bacteria
Description: partial 16S ribosomal RNA
Rfam family: Bacterial small subunit ribosomal RNA
Source: RNAcentral
GACGAACGCUGGCGGCGUGCUUAACACAUGCAAGUCGAACGGAAAGGCCCUGCUUUUGUGGGGUGCUCGAGUGGCGAACGGGUGAGUAACACGUGAGUAUCCUGCCCCUGUCUUUGGGAUAACUUCAGGAAACUGGGGCUAAUACCCCAUAGAAGCUCCUGCAGCAUGUUGGGCGUUGGAGAGUUGCGGCGGUUGGGGUUGGUGUCGCGGCUUAUCAGCUUGUUGGUGGGGUAGUGGCUUACCAAGGAUUGGACGGGUAGCCGGCCUGGGAGGGAGACCGGCACCAUAGGCCUGAGGGAGGGACCAGUACGCCAACGGGCGCAAUGGGCGGGAACUUUACGAAACAGGGCGGAGGCAGGGGUGAGGAUCGCCGGGUCGGGAAUCACGGCUUUUGGGUAAGAACCAGUUUGCACGUGUCACAAGGCGUGGUGACGGUAACUGGUUAAAAAGCCACGGCUAACUACGUG